RNAcentral lists this ribosomal RNA (497 nucleotides) under uncultured bacterium. RNAcentral describes it as "partial 16S ribosomal RNA". It matches the Rfam family "Bacterial small subunit ribosomal RNA", at positions 28 to 507 of the family's 1533-position model. The record is from RNAcentral.
GAUGAACGCUGGCGGCGUGCCUAAUACAUGCAAGUCGAGCGAACAGACGAGGAGCUUGCUCCUCUGACGUUAGCGGCGGACGGGUGAGUAACACGUGGAUAACCUACCUAUAAGACUGGGAUAACUUCGGGAAACCGGAGCUAAUACCGGAGAAUAUAUUGAACCGCAUGGUUCAAUAGUGAAAGACGGUUUUGCUGUCACUUAUAGAUGGAUCCGCGCCGCAUUAGCUAGUUGGUAAGGUACCGGCUUACCAAGGCAACGAUGCGUAGCCGACCUGAGAGGGUGAUCGGCCACACUGGAACUGAGACACGGUCCAGACUCCUACGGGAGGCAGCAGUAGGGAAUCUUCCGCAAUGGGCGAAAGCCUGACGGAGCAACGCCGCGUGAGUGAUGAAGGUCUUCGGAUCGUAAAACUCUGUUAUUAGGGAAGAACAAAUGUGUAAGUAACUAUGCACGUCUUGACGGUACCUAAUCAGAAAGCCACGGCUAACUACGUG